Small nucleolar RNA from Misgurnus anguillicaudatus (oriental weatherfish), 78 nucleotides. RefSeq annotates it as small nucleolar RNA SNORD111. The record is from RefSeq and is a predicted model, not a curated record. Lineage: Eukaryota; Metazoa; Chordata; Actinopteri; Cypriniformes; Cobitidae.
UAGCUGAAAUGAUGAAUAUCAUGUCUCUUCUCUGACUUGUUGGUGAAGAAAGUCUUGUGAUUUCUGAUCUUUAUGCUA